GACGAACGCUGGCGGCGUGCUUAACACAUGCAAGUCGAACGGAAAGGCCCCUUCGGGGGUACUCGAGUGGCGAACGGGUGAGUAACACGUGGGUGAUCUGCCCUGCACUUUGGGAUAAGCCUGGGAAACUGGGUCUAAUACCGAAUACACCCUUCUGAUCGCAUGGUCUGGGAGGGGAAAGCUUUUGCGGUGUGGGAUGGGCCCGCGGCCUAUCAGCUUGUUGGUGGGGUGAUGGCCUACCAAGGCGACGACGGGUAGCCGGCCUGAGAGGGUGACCGGCCACACUGGGACUGAGAUACGGCCCAGACUCCUACGGGAGGCAGCAGUGGGGAAUAUUGCACAAUGGGCGCAAGCCUGAUGCAGCGACGCCGCGUGGGGGAUGACGGCCUUCGGGUUGUAAACCUCUUUCAGCAUCGACGAAGCGCAAGUGACGGUAGAUGCAGAAGAAGCACCGGCCAACUACG
This 464-nucleotide ribosomal RNA is filed under the name Mycolicibacterium confluentis. RNAcentral describes it as "bacterial SSU rRNA". It matches the Rfam family "Bacterial small subunit ribosomal RNA", at positions 28 to 505 of the family's 1533-position model. The record is from RNAcentral. Lineage: Bacteria; Bacillati; Actinomycetota; Actinomycetes; Mycobacteriales; Mycobacteriaceae.